GGCAUGGUAGUCGAGUGGGUAAAGCGCUUAUAGAUAUUUACUCGGGGCUGAAUAUCGAUGGUUCGAAUCCAUCCCGGAGCAACA
Molecule: transfer RNA, 84 nt
Filed under: Rhamnusium bicolor
Lineage: Eukaryota; Metazoa; Arthropoda; Insecta; Coleoptera; Cerambycidae
Description: tRNA-OTHER
Source: RNAcentral